Molecule: ribosomal RNA, 460 nt
Filed under: uncultured bacterium
Lineage: Bacteria
Description: partial 16S ribosomal RNA
Rfam family: Bacterial small subunit ribosomal RNA
Source: RNAcentral
CCUACGGGUGGCUGCAGUGAGGAAUAUUGGUCAAUGGGCGCGAGCCUGAACCAGCCAAGUAGCGUGAAGGAUGACGGCCCUACGGGUUGUAAACUUCUUUUGUAAAGGAGUAAAGUGAGGCACGUGUGCCUUUUUGUAUGUACUUUAUGAAUAAGGAUCGGCUAACUCCGUGCCAGCAGCCGCGGUAAUACGGAGGAUCCGAGCGUUAUCCGGAUUUAUUGGGUUUAAAGGGAGCGUAGAUGGGUUGUUAAGUCAGUUGUGAAAGUUUGCGGCUCAACCGUAAAAUUGCAAUGGAUACUGGCAGCCUUGAGUACAGUAGAGGUAGGCGGAAUUCGUGGUGUAGCGGUGAAAUGCGUAGAUAUCACGAAGAACUCCGAUUGCGAAGGCAGCCUACUAAACUGCAACUGACAUUGAUGCUCGAAAGUGUGGGUAUCAAACAGGAUUAGAUACCCGAGUAGUC